This 1347-nucleotide ribosomal RNA is filed under the name uncultured bacterium. RNAcentral's name for it is "partial 16S ribosomal RNA". It matches the Rfam family "Bacterial small subunit ribosomal RNA", at positions 28 to 1381 of the family's 1533-position model. The record is from RNAcentral.
GACGAACGCUGGCGGCGUGCUUAACACAUGCAAGUCGAACGGAAAGGCCCUGCUUUUGUGGGGUGCUCGAGUGGCGAACGGGUGAGUAACACGUGAGUAACCUGCCCUUGACUUUGGGAUAACUUCAGGAAACUGGGGCUAAUACCGGAUAGGAGCUCCUGCUGCAUGGUGGGGGUUGGAAAGUUUCGGCGGUUGGGGAUGGACUCGCGGCUUAUCAGCUUGUUGGUGGGGUAGUGGCUUACCAAGGCUUUGACGGGUAGCCGGCCUGAGAGGGUGACUGGCCACAUUGGGACUGAGAUACGGCCCAGACUCCUACGGGAGGCAGCAGUGGGGAAUAUUGCACAAUGGGCGGAAGCCUGAUGCAGCAACGCCGCGUGCGGGAUGACGGCCUUCGGGUUGUAAACCGCUUUCGCCUGUGACGAAGCGUGAGUGACGGUAAUGGGUAAAGAAGCACCGGCUAACUACGUGCCAGCAGCCGCGGUGAUACGUAGGGUGCGAGCGUUGUCCGGAUUUAUUGGGCGUANAGGGCUCGUAGGUGGUUGAUCGCGUCGGAAGUGUAAUCUUGGGGCUUAACCCUGAGCGUGCUUUCGAUACGGGUUGACUUGAGGAAAGUAGGGGGAGAAUGGAAUUCCUGGUGGAGCGGUGGAAUGCGCAGAUAUCAGGAGGAACACCAGUGGCGAAGGCGGUUCUCUGGGCCUUUCCUGACGCUGAGGAGCGAAAGCGUGGGGAGCGAACAGGCUUAGAUACCCUGGUAGUCCACGCUGUAAACGGUGGGUACUAGGUGUGGGGUCCAUUCCACGGGUUCCGUGCCGUAGCUAACGCUUUAAGUACCCCGCCUGGGGAGUACGGCCGCAAGGCUAAAACUCAAAGGAAUUGACGGGGCCCCGCACAAGCGGCGGAGCAUGCGGAUUAAUUCGAUGCAACGCGUAGAACCUUACCUGGGUUUGACAUGGAUCGGGAGUGCUCAGAGAUGGGUGUGCCUCUUUUGGGGUCGGUUCACAGGUGGUGCAUGGCUGUCGUCAGCUCGUGUCGUGAGAUGUUGGGUUAAGUCCCGCAACGAGCGCAACCCUUGUUCACUGUUGCCAGCACGUUAUGGUGGGGACUCAGUGGAGACCGCCGGGGUCAACUCGGAGGAAGGUGGGGAUGACGUCAAGUCAUCAUGCCCCUUAUGUCCAGGGCUUCACGCAUGCUACAAUGGCUGGUACAGAGAGUGGCGAGCCUGUGAGGGUGAGCGAAUCUCGGAAAGCCGGUCUCAGUUCGGAUUGGGGUCUGCAACUCGACCUCAUGAAGUCGGAGUCGCUAGUAAUCGCAGAUCAGCAACGCUGCGGUGAAUACGUUCCCGGGGCU